RNAcentral lists this long non-coding RNA (2054 nucleotides) under Homo sapiens (human). RNAcentral's name for it is "long non-coding RNA NONHSAT196052.1". The record is from RNAcentral. Lineage: Eukaryota; Metazoa; Chordata; Mammalia; Primates; Hominidae.
UACCAGAGCUCUCGGAGAUCAACAAAGGUGCCGCUUUUGAAUGUGAAAGUUUUUUCAAGACUUUUCUAUUUCUUGGUUUGAAUCGUGUGCCUGUAGGGACACAUGCUACCUGCUUACUGGACAGUGACUACUUAGGAUAAGGACUCAGGCAAGUAAGGUUGCAUUUUAGUCUCUCAGAUAUGGGGGGAAAAUUUUGGUGACAUUGGAGAGAGAGAUAAAUGAAAUAUUUUAUUAAAUUUAGAAUUUAAUGUAAAGUAGCAUAUACAGAGGCAAGAAACAGAAUAAUGUGUUUUAUGGUUGUCAGCUACCAUCUUUAAUUGCAAUGAAUGAGAAUUCUUGUUGCUUUAACAUCCUUGCCUGCAUUUGUUGUUAGUGUUUUGGAUUUUCGUCAUCCUAAUAUAGGAAUAAAUCUUCAGAAUCAGAUGAUCACCUGGCCACAUUUUCAUGCAUUCUUUUCCUAUGACAGCAGAUGAGAGUGGGAGAGAAAGACACACAAGUGGAGAAGAUAAAUAGUAAUUUGGAACCAAAACUCAGGACGUCCCAGGAGAGGCUAGAUUAGGAAUUCUUUGAUUUGGGAUCACGAAAAUGAAGUAUCCAUAUUUUAACAGAAUGAUUAGUGGCAGAGGAAUCAUCUAAGAAAACUGAGAAGACUCUGCCAGAGUGAUGGGAAGAAAACUAGAUGAGAAAGCACCAUUCUGGAAGACAUGCUCCCAUGAACCAUGGAGAGAAGAGGAGAGGGAAGAAGUUAUUUGUGAUGUCAUUUGCCUGUGUCAUGGCCUGCCUUCCCUAGAUAUUGUCCUAAUGUGAGCAUCACACCUAAGGUACUGAAGUAGAGUUCUGGCUGUUCCUUACGGACAUCUCUGGUGGACCUCCAUCUGUUUUUGAUACAAGUCAGUCUUUUCCUGGACUUUUGGUAUCAUAUGGACAAUGUCAGUCAUUUGGCUGAAAAGUUCAACUUGAGCAGUUUUAACAUCUUGGAGCACUACUGGAAGAUUCAUUUUUCCGUCAUAACUAUCAUCAUCUUGAUUACAAUCAUCAGAUGUCACAGUGGGAUAUCCAGUUGAAUCUUGGUGCCGAAUCUUACAUUUGUGGUAAACAUUUUUAAGAGACUGUCUGACCUUGGAGAGAUUUGAAGUCCACAUCUGCCUAGCAGCAGCUUUUACCCUUUUGGUGUGAAGUGUGUACAUCUUUCAUGGUGAAACAAGAGGCAAGGUGUUGGAAAACAGAAUCACAGGAAGAAAUAAUGUACAAAUGAAAUGGUCCUUCUCUUACUAUUUGUUGGAUGCCUUUCCUGAUAACAUCUUAGAACACUCUGGAAAUCAUCAGCCACAGCAAUAGACACUGUUAGGUGAUUAGCUUCUUAUAGAGCAGCCCAACCAGAGAGCUCUGUGAAAUAAUAGUCAACUGCAUGGAAUCUUUCAUAUGGUAAUCAUUGACCUGCUGCUGAUGUCACAAUGACUGCUGGCUUAGAACAAACAUAUUUAACUACAGCAGUUCUCAAAAGUUUUGGUCAUAGGGCUCUUUUUGAAUCAUAGAAAUUGUUGAGCAGCCUGAGGAACACAGAAAAACACCUGUUGCUACAAAAAAAUAAAAAAAUUAGCCAGCCAUGGUGGUGCAUGCCUGUAGCCUCAGCUACUUGGGAGGCUGAGGUGGGAGGAUCACUUGAGCACAGGGGGUGGAGACUGUAGUAUGCCAUGAUGGUACCACUGCACUCCAGCCUGGGCGACAGUACAAGACUCUGUCUCAAAAUGAAUAAAUAAGUAAAUUCAACAACAGAAAUUGAGGAUGAGGAACAUGGUGUUGCAGUUCAAACCAGUUCCAGCCAAAAUGGACUCUAGUCACAAACAAAUAGUAAUAACAAUCCAAACUUGUGGCUGAAUAGAGUUCUGAAGUUUUGAGAAAGAGCCAAGAGAAAAUUCAGUGUGAAGAUGAUGGAGUGACACAAUAGAAGGAACCUGAAUCACUGAAUCAUCACUUGGAAGAAAGCAGCCCAGACUAGUUACCCAACUCCCAUCAGACAGUGACCAGAGUGAGAAAUAAGCCUUGUGUAUGGU